ACUCAAAGGAAUAGACGGGGGCCCGCACAAGCAGCGGAGCAUGUGGCUUAAUUCGACGCAACGCGAAGAACCUUACCAAGGCUUGACAUCACCCGGAAACGUCUGGAGACAGGCGCCCCCUUGUGGUCGGGUGGCAGGUGGUGCAUGGCUGUCGUCAGCUCGUGUCGUGAGAUGUUGGGUUAAGUCCCGCAACGAGCGCAACCCUUGUUCUGUGUUGCCAGCAUGCCCUUCGGGGUGAUGGGGACUCACGGGAGACUGCCGGGGUCAACUCGGAGGAAGGUGGGGACGACGUCAAGUCAUCAUGCCCCUUAUGUCUUGGGCUGCACACGUGCUACAAUGGCCGGUACAAAGAGCUGCGAGGCCGUGAGGCGGAGCGAAUCUCAAAAAGCCGGUCUCAGUUCGGAUUGGGGUCUGCAACUCGACCCCAUGAAGUCGGAGUUGCUAGUAAUCGCAGAUCAGCAGUGCUGCGGUGAAUACGUUCCCGGGCCUUGUACACACCGCCCGU
This 505-nucleotide ribosomal RNA is filed under the name uncultured bacterium. RNAcentral's name for it is "partial 16S ribosomal RNA". It matches the Rfam family "Bacterial small subunit ribosomal RNA", at positions 899 to 1397 of the family's 1533-position model. The record is from RNAcentral.